RNAcentral lists this ribosomal RNA (388 nucleotides) under uncultured bacterium. Its description in RNAcentral is "bacterial SSU rRNA". It matches the Rfam family "Bacterial small subunit ribosomal RNA", at positions 29 to 417 of the family's 1533-position model. The record is from RNAcentral.
AUUGAACGCUGGCGGCAUGCCUUACACAUGCAAGUCGAACGGCAGCACGGGGGCAACCCUGGUGGCGAGUGGCGAACGGGUGAGUGAUAUAUCGGAACGUGCCCUAGAGUGGGGGAGUAACUAGUCGAAAGACUAGCUAAUACCGCAUACGAUCUAAGGAAUGAAAGUGGGGGAGUCGCAAGACCUCAUGCUCCUGGAGCGGCCGAUAUCUGAUUAGCAGUUGGUGGGUAAAGCCUACCAAGGCGACGAUCAGUAGCUGGUCUGAGAGGACGACCAGCCACACUGGGACUGAGACACGGCCCACGACUCCUACGGGAGGCAGCAGUGGGGAAUCUUGCGCAAUGGGCGAAAGCCUGACGCAGCGACGCCGCGUGAGGGAUGACGGCCU